GUUUCCUUUGACUUGUGAUUAGACAAAGAAAUAGGGACAUCCUCUCACAUUCAGUAUAAAAUGUUUACUCACUUGACACUGUUUAUUUUGGCUUUCUUGGCUGCAAGAACAGCUUCUUACGAAUGUUUCACAUGUGAAAAUAUUGACAAUCCUGAUGAUUGUCAUAACAUAACAGCAAGUGGCAACCAACAG
Molecule: long non-coding RNA, 192 nt
Organism: Ruditapes philippinarum (Manila clam)
Lineage: Eukaryota; Metazoa; Mollusca; Bivalvia; Venerida; Veneridae
Exons: 4
Source: RefSeq, a predicted model, not a curated record